This 252-nucleotide ribosomal RNA is filed under the name uncultured Brevibacillus sp. RNAcentral describes it as "partial 16S ribosomal RNA". It matches the Rfam family "Bacterial small subunit ribosomal RNA", at positions 524 to 776 of the family's 1533-position model. The record is from RNAcentral. Lineage: Bacteria; Bacillati; Bacillota; Bacilli; Caryophanales; Paenibacillaceae.
UACGUAGGUGGCAAGCGUUGUCCGGAUUUAUUGGGCGUAAAGCGCGCGCAGGCGGCUAUGUAAGUCUGGUGUUAAAGCCCGGAGCUCAACUCCGGUUCGCAUCGGAAACUGUGUAGCUUGAGUGCAGAAGAGGAAAGCGGUAUUCCACGUGUAGCGGUGAAAUGCGUAGAGAUGUGGAGGAACACCAGUGGCGAAGGCGGCUUUCUGGUCUGUAACUGACGCUGAGGCGAGAAAGCGUGGGGAGCAAACAGG